This 14485-nucleotide long non-coding RNA is filed under the name Elaeis guineensis (African oil palm). RNAcentral describes it as "long non-coding RNA (EGUI_LNC006864)". Lineage: Eukaryota; Viridiplantae; Streptophyta; Magnoliopsida; Arecales; Arecaceae. The record is from RNAcentral.
GGGACGGGAGGGUGUGUGGGGGAAUGGGAAGAAAAGAAAAUUCGGUAAGAAAACUGAGAUGAAGAAUCGAAAGCUUACUUCGAAUAAACUGGGACCGAAGGGGACGACGUGCUCGAGAGAAGCAACCGCCGCCGUUUGAUCAGCGGCAUGUAGUCAAGAUCAUCCAUCCAGCACUUAUCUCCUGCCCUAAUCUUGACCUUGUCUGUAGACCCGUCGAUAGCAAUGGCGGAAUCCAUUCCCAGCUAGGGUUUUCUCGCGCCAACGCCUCGGAAUUGGAAGCCGGCCAUUCCACUGGAGGAGAAGAAAGUGAGGGAAAAGGAGAAGAAGAAGAGGUGAAAUCACAUAAUUAGGGUUUGAGAGAGAUGGAAAGGUUGAAGGAAAGAGAGAAGGAGAGGAGAAGAGGAGAAGGAAAGGUGAUACCUGCGCAUUCUGGUCGCCGAUAUGGAGCGGGUAGGGCUUUCGCCGAGAGAAGGGGAAAAGACCCCUCGAGCUUCCGAGGCAGAGGGGCCAACGGGCACUCGGGCGGUAUGGAUUCUUGAUUGGUAUUCUAAUACUCCCAGCCAGCGCAUGAUAGGCAUGGCCCGGAAUGACAUGCCACGUGACGGAACUUUGGAGUCAACCGAUAACCAAUAUGCUUGAGGUUUUUUUAUUAUUAUUAUUUUUCAACAAACUAAGUAUCCAUUCUGUUGAGGUGUAUCGAGUUACGUGAUAAUUUGGCAAUUCAUAAAAAUUAUUUAUUAAAAAAAUAAUUAUAAAAAAAUAAAUUUUAUCAUAUUUGAUUAAUAAAAAAUUAAUUAUAAAAAUAAUAUUAAAAAUUAUUAUAUUUGGUUGGAGAUAAUACUAUAUAGAAAUACAAUAAGAUUUAUAAAUAUAAUCUUCAAUAUAAAAUAAUUUUUUAAUAUUAAUAUAGUAUUAUCAUCUCCAAUUAAUUCUUAUACGAUGAUUAUAAUCAUAAAGUCUAUUACAUAAUAUUAUCUUCAUCUUAAUUAUUUUAUAAAAUUUUUCAUUGAACAAAUUUGAAAAGACAUCCGAACAAAUUCAAUGAUUACACAUAUAAUUUUAUUAGAAAUAUUUUUAUCAAGUAUGAAUUAUUACCAUUCAAAAAUUUAUCGAAUACCAACUUCUAUCGUAUUUAUUUUAUAUUUUUUUAUAAAAAAUAAAUAUAAGAUCCAUCAAUUUUUUUAUCAUUUUUUUUUAUACUAAAUAUCAUAAUUGGGCAUGAAAUUUAUUUUUCCGUGUUGGAUUGCCUCUAAUCAAAUGGAUUCUAAUUCUUUGGGAUAUGACCAGGGUCAUAAAAUUUAGAUAUGCAAUGCGAUCGUGAUCAUGUAAUACUGUAGCAUGUAACAGGUGCUCGAGCACAGUUCAAUAAAUAUUUGGAUGUUUUUAAUUGAGGUUUAAAUGUUCUUGGACAAUUUUAAAUUGGAUGAUUUGGCAAUUUAUGGAUUAUGUUCAUAGAUUUGUACUGUGUCAUGACAUGUAUGAAGUAUGAUUAGCUCCAUGUGAAUCAUGACGUAUUAUACUUGCAAGUUUCAUUGGGAAAAAGAUCGUGGUAUUUUGGUUUAUGUGGGAUCCAACCCUCAAAUCUAUUUUUUGUUAUAAUGAUUUUGCAUAAAAAAAACAUAAACUGGUUGAUUCUUGGUAUGGUGUCAAUUAUGAUCAUGUGUGCCUUAGUAUUGGAAGAAAUAUAUUCGUAAUCAAACAAAUCUCCAUAUUCCAAGAGAAAUGAGAUCAAAUAUUAUGAAAAAACCUCCGAAAUCCGGACAAUGGAGGACCGUAUUGGAAAUUUUGAGCAACAGAAUACAAAUAUAAUUGAUUUAAUGAUCAAGCCGAGUUGUUACCAUGUGAACUCUACCUUUUGAUAGAUUUUAGUUAGGAAUAUGCUUGGACUCCACCAUACUGCCAAUCAACAAUUCAGUAAUAAGCAUCAUCCGUCAAGUCCGAUAAUAAUUCUCAAUAACGCAAUAUCAAGCAUCAUUUGCCAAUCUAGGUAGCACAUCUAAGCAUGAUAAUUUACAGUUGGAUAUGUAAAUAAUAUCAGAAGCAUUAAUAUCUUAAAUUAAAAGUAGGAAAAGAACUUCUUUACAAAUGAAAUAAUGCAAUUAGGAUUUUGAUCAUCCCUCAACAACAGUGCCUUUUUUGAAUAUGCUACUUUUGAUAUAAAAAGUACAUAAUAUAUGUAAAUAUGAAAUUAGUAACUAAAGACUCGUUUUCAUGAUAAAAGUUAUAAUAUAAUAUUCCCUCUAUGGCUAGAGUAGGGGGAAGUGGGGAGCAGGGCGCACGUACACCUCUCCCUCUCUCGAGUCUAUUAAAAACUUUCACAGCUUCCUAUUUUGAAUAAACUGGUCCUCCAUAGCAGUCGAUUCUAUAUGCCUCUUUGUUUAAAAAAAUGAUGGUUGUGUUUUUUUUCGUGGAAUGCAUGUUUUUCUCUCAUUUUUGUUUUCUCCUUUUGUUACAAGAAUCCAUAAUUUCAUAAAUUUAAAAAUUUGAAGAUUCAAAUUUGUUAGUGUUUUAAGAAGCACAAAUAAAGUUAUGAGAAGACCAUAUAAUAAUUUUAAAAUAUGUGAUUCCUUCGAGGAUUAUUGCAUGAAUUUUAUAACCAAAAACAGAUUAGCAAAAGGAAAUAAUCAAUAAAAACAAUUAACUAAAAAUCAGGAUAUUUAUUUAUGAUGGAUGAAUAUAAUUAAGUUAUGCUGUGUGUUUAUUAAUAAUACCUCUUUGAAUGAAAUUAUUAGUUUUGCUGGUCCUCUUUCUUCAUCAUGAUGCUGCUAAGCAAUAUAAUCAUUUUAAUGCAUAGACAACUACUCAUUAAUUUUAAAUUGAAUUCAAAGAGAAUAUGAGUUUUAGAUAUGUGAAGCACAUAAUUUGGCAACAAACAACCUCUGAACAGAGCCUCCUUUGUGCACCAUAUCUGAGUUUAAUAUUCAAAAAAAAAAAAAAAAACACAACAAUCCCUUGUUCGAUCCUUGGACAUUCAAAUUAGAAUAAUUAGUUAAAGCGAUGUACUUUCAAAGUAAUAGAAAUAAUUUCUUUAAUUUAUAGAAUAAAAAAAAGUGCAACAGAAAUGAAAUGAUGCAGUAUAAAGGAGGACUUGAAUGAGCAAAAACAAUUCACUAUAAACCAGAGAAUGUUGUGAUAGGUCCUUAUAUUGUCAUUGAGGCUUGAUGUAUUUUUGAUUUUUUUUAGAUUAAAUUUAUGUUAAAUCUUUCAACAUUAUAUGCAUUUAUUAUUUUCUGACUGUGAUUCUCCCUAUGAUUUUCCCAAUGUAUUUGAACAAUACGUACAUCACACACGUCUUGCAAAUUUGUACUAGCUAUAGCAAACAAAUUACCAUGUUGCUAAUAGUAUCAUCUAAAGGUACACAUGUAUAUGAUCCUUCCAGCUAUAUUCUAAACAAGAACUGAGAGUUUUAUCAAUAGUGUAUUUUAGUCAUAUGAUAUAUGUAUAUCGACCAAGAUAGUGCACAUAGUGAAGUUAGUGGGAUAUAUAUUAUCUAUAUUUGUACAAUCAACUUGAUUAAAAAUUCAUUUACUAUAUACAUUGUAAAGCUUGUCAAUCAUUGCUGGCUAAGUUGCAUUGAAGAAGAGGUUUGAACCCUAAUGAACUUUGAGAGAAAAUAAGAUUUAGUAAGAAAUUAAAGAAGCCAUACAAAAAAUCAUAAAAGAAAUAUCUUAGUAUAAGCGGACUCUGAGAAAUUUUGAAUAAGGAGGAAGAGAGAUAGUUUUAGACCAAGAGAAAAAUAUGAGAUACAAUGUGUUAUAAGUUAAAAUUUUUUAAAAAAUAUCUUAAAAUUAAGAUUUUAGUUAAUAUAAUUGGAUUAUAACCAGUUUCCUAAAAAUAAGCAUACAUUAUGACUACUUUUUAUUAAAAAAUAUAAUGCAGUUCCUCCGAAGGAUUUGACAGACAAAAGGGGUGAUUUUUUAUCUGAUGUAAUUAAUUUUUAAAAACAAUGGAUAUCCAUCUCUAUAUGAUCGAGAAAACAAAAAAUAAUAUUGAAAUUUUGGUUUUCCUAUUUUCCUUCUCAAACCUUCUAAAUCAUGAAUGUACUGGAAAGACAUCCAAGCUGUGGCAGUUCUUGAUAUGUUAGCAUAUCCCUAGCAUCAUGCACGUGCGAUCUAAAAGAAAAGAAUGCCAGGGAGUUCAGGGAAAAUGAGUAGUACUCUCAACAUCCUUGAGCUCAUCUUUUAAAAUGCAACCCAGGUUGGAUGCAUAUUUUAUCCGCUCGCUACUUUUCCAUCUUCACACGUAGGGAUUGAGUUAGUGCCUCCCUUCCCCCCGUGUACUCACACUCAUUUCUUUUAAUUAAAUACAUCAUUUCACGUGGACGCUAAAAUUGAGAAAGAAAGAAGCACAUCAUGCUAUACGAGAAGUAUAUCUAACAAAUGAGUUUUGCGAUGGCGGAUCAAUCUUACUUUUAUGUAGGAGUAAAUAUUUAUUACCUUUUUAUGUUAUUUUUAUUCUUUUGUUACGGAAGACUGCCGGCAACUACCUUUCCUCACUCACCAAAAAAAAAAAAAAAAAAUCCUCUCUCCUCCUCUCUGUCCCUUUUCUCACCCUAGUUUCUGCUGCCUCAUUUUCUAGCAAUCGAGGUUCGGCCAGGGUUUAGCUAGGAGCCCAAGGUUCGCCGGCAGCAGAAAAUAUAACUCGGCAUUGAUGCAUCCAAGUACAAAUUAACAAGGAUGAAUAACUGGAAAUGUGGUUAUUUUGGGAUGAGAGAUGAGUGGAGAGCAAGAAAUUGGGUAACGCAGAAAUCGACAUAGGAGUAUCAGUAUGGUAGCUAGGUAGUAGAAAGAGGGAGAAGUUGGCAGAGAAUGAGUGGUGUUUUAGUACAUCAAUUAAUCUGAAAGCUACUACAAAUUUUGAGCUGUUAGAAGAUUUUAUAUAUUAAGAUUUAAUUCUAUAUGUAAAAAUUAAAUAUAUGCAGAUAUCUUAAGCUCUCUGACUAGAGGCACAUAAAUAUGAUCAAAUUUUUGCUUUGAUUUUAUUAAUAUGAAAGUAAUAAUCGAUGCUCAUAAUUAUUGUAAUUAAUAAUUUGAUAUUUAUUAGUAUAAAUUGGAUGUUCGAAUAAAUUUUUAUAUGACCAUCGUAGAGUUACUUAGAAGACUUAAUGCACAAAAAAUUUAAUUCCAUUCAUAAAAGUCAAUUAUAUGUAAAUAUUUGAAACUUCUCAUGAUCAACAUUUUUUUCACAAAUUUUCUAUGGACUAUGGUAGAGAUAAAACGCUACUCUCUCUUGGCAAGCCAACGACCCAUCAAAACCUUCUUUAUUCAAGACACUUUCGAUUGGUAUCGAGCUUGCAAUGGAUGGAGAACCAAGUUCGGAACGGACAUCAAACACUAGAACAAAAUCGUUACACAAAUUCAGUUUAAAUUUUCAUCCCAGCCAUUCAUCAAAUCAAUCAAAAUGCCCCUCGUGAUUCGCCCGGACCCCUCCCCAAAAGACCUUCCCGCCCAUCGCCUGCUUCCCGUACGCACCCCCACGCCCCUGCCCUAAUGACACCAAAAUCUAAAGGUAACAAUAGAAAAUCUAAAAAGCUGCGUCCGAGUUCGAAAUUUGACCGUUGUUUCCAGCUGGUCGCCACGUCAACAGUGGGCCCCAGUGGGGCCUUCCGCCACUGCCAAGAUGCUCCCAGGGUACCUCGAAACGGCUAACCGGUUCCUCGUCCGGAUCCACCGCCUCGCUCUGCCCAUGAUCCUAUGCUCCAAGGAAGAUCUGCCGUCCGAUCGCUGACAAAAGGCUUGUGAUCGAAGGGAUCGGAUGGGAGUCCCUGGAAAGACCACAAAGCCCCAGUCCCUCCUCUUCUUGGUUCCCCACUUCCAUAAAAGUCUCGCCUUUACCAUAUUCUCCUCUGUUUUGUUCCACCCAACUCAACUCAAACCAGGGGGAAAAAGGCCUCUUUUUUCCAAAACAUUCUUCUCUUCUUAGAUUUCUCUCUUCUUCUCGCUUCUUCUACUGAUAUUUUUAUUCUUGUUCUUUAGAUUUCUUCGGUCAAGGGGAGGAGAAAAGGGGCUCUUUUUCCCUCUUCGUGCUUUGUUUUCUCCGCUGUUCUUCUUCUCCGGUGAUUUCUUCGAUUUCUCGAUUUCCUAUCUUUUACCUAUUCUAGUCCCCAUUACCCGAUUGCUUUAUGUGAUUGGAAGGACGAAGUGUUCUUCUUUUGAAGGGGAAUCGAUGGCGCCGCUUCUCCUCUUGCUUCUGGCGAUCUCGGUGGUUUAUGCGGACGAAGGUGCGGAUUCUCUUCUUCUCUGAUGUCAAAAUCUUUCUCUUUUCUCCUUUUGUUUGCGUUCGAUUCAUUCUUCAAGCUAUUUGAUUUCAGACAGAUUUCUUACUCUUUACUUGUUCGUAUUUUUUUUUCUUCGGCAUUUUUGGAUUUUGCGAGAAAUGUUAGCUGAGAGGUAGGGCUUUGUCACAGUCCUCUCCUCUCGAGCUCAUCUAUUCGAAGAUUCAGAUGUCCUACAGAUUUGUCGCUUUAUUUGUUUCCAUUUACAGUAUUACUUCAGUCCAGUGUUGUUGUAGACUUAUAGGAUGGAGUCUUUUGUUUUAUUUUGCGGAAAAAGCAUUAGUCUUUGGGCUGAUUGAUGUGGAUUUUUUUCUUCUUUAGCUCACCGUAUUUCCCCAUCAUGGCUAGAUGUGUUUAUUAGAUUUAAUUUACUUUGGCCAAUGUAACUUGCUAGGUUUUCUGAGCUGGUGGAUUGUCAAAAAUGUGCGUCCUUUUUUUUUUUUGAUAAGAAAAAUGUUUGGCCUUCUUUAUUGCAUGCAGUGAACAUAGGACCGACCUUUACCCAAAAGUAAAAAAAAAAAAGGACCUUGGGUAGGUUCCUCGUUGGCGGGUGGAGUAUCAAGUCAGCUAUCAUUUCUUGUUCCAGAUCUUGCAUAACUACAAACUAUUAUAUAUUCCAAACGAGGAUGGUGACACCGAUAUUUUUUUUUUUUGGGAGUCGGUCGGGAAGUUUUAAUCCAUGUUAGAAAACCACCAUCUUUCUAUUUGAUUUGGGGUGAGUGGUUGAUGCUGUGCUAUCAACUAAUAUCUCUAUCUGUCUCUCCAUAUAUAUAUAAAUAUAUGUUUCACGAAAGGAUGGUAACCCACAUUUUUCUGGAGUGGUCGGGAUUCGGUAAGUUUUAAUCCAUGCACGUUGGAAAACCACCACCUUUUUAUAUGAUUUUGGGGUGAUUGGUUGAUGCUAUGCCAUCGCGGGGUAUAAUAUAAAAGUAUAUUAAAUUGUUUAGGUAGGUAGUUAACGUAAAAAAUUUUCAGAGUAAUCACUCUUUUUCUUUGAGCCGAGUUGGUGUGACUGGAACGAGUUGACUCAUGUUUGUGAUGCGAUGGUGACUAUUGUGUGCUGCGGACCUGCGGUGAAGUGGGUCCGGGCUCUGCAGCGAAUCUCUUUUAGAACAUAAAAUCAAAGAGACCGAUCAUUAUGUAACAACAAUAAAUUCCUCAGCCACCGUGAGCACAUUUGGGAGCAGUAGAUUCGCAGGCCCCUCAAGCAUACCAAUGGAGGCAUCUUGUCUAACCUUAGUUUUGAAAGUUUGUUGUUUGCUUAAAGGAAUCAAUGGCGGAUCGACAGCGAAAUAACGUGGGCGUACAGUGGGGGCAAGAAUUCAAAUCUUGGGGCGAUUCGAAGUCGGAAAGACGUCCGUUCGCCGACUUUAUGUGACAUGUGUUGGUGACGUGCUCCCGCUUCCUCUCCGUGUCCCAUUAUCAUCGACCGGCUUUAAUCAACGGCCAAUAAUCAUCGUGUUGGAUUGCCUGGAUCAAUAAACAAUUGGUUUCUUAUCUGGUAAAUUUGUUUUAUUGCUUUGUCUCAUUGGCUUUAUUGUUGUCUUCGUAUGCUUGCGAAAGCGGCAGUAUGGUUUCCGCUUCUUCCGCUCGUCCUCGAGAUCCGAUCCCAUCGCGCCUCUGUGGGGACCCGGGAGUCGAUCAGACGCUCCUAUGGAAAUGCGAUAUCUAUCAAUCCGAUGAUAUGGGCCCAUGCGUGAAUAGACGGUGAUCUGGUCACCUUAUAUCGUUCCGACGAUUCGAGCCCUGGGAUUAGAAAUAGACGGCGGAUCUCGGGACUCUCAUAGACAUGUCUGUGCAGUUUGCUUUCACGAAACUGUUAUCACCAUUCUGGUUGCACGUGGCGCCCGUACCCAGUUGUCUCCCGGAUCAGUUUGUUGCUCGACAGCUAGUCUUCGAUUGCUGUUCCGCUGGACCACGUUAGCAGAUAUAUCAUCACGAUCGAGUCCCUUUUUUUAGUUUUUUUUCCUUGCUUUUCUAUCUUUCUCUCUUUAUUUUUUUUUUGGUAAGUUUCUAUCUUUCUCUCUUUAUUUUUUUUUUGGUGAGUUUCUAUCUUUCUCUUCAAAUAAUAAACAUGUCACUUACUGGUUUAUUUGAUUUCAAAAGGUUUUUUUAUUACAUUUGCGCAUUUUAGCAUUUGCUGAGGGCUUUGGACUAACGUGCGCAGGGGCGUACAUUGGGGCGAACAUCGGGACGGCGCUGUCGGACAUGCCGUCGCCGACUCAAGUGGUGGCGCUGCUGAAGUCGCAGCAGAUCCGGCACGUGCGGCUGUACGAUGCGGACGCGGCCAUGCUGGCGGCGCUCGCCAACACCGGCAUCCGCGUCACCGUCUCCGUCCCCAACGAUCAGCUCCUCGCCGUCGGCCAGUCCAACGCCACCGCCGCCAACUGGGUCGCCCGCAACGUCGUCGCCCACGUCCCCACCGUCAACAUCACCGCGGUGGCCGUCGGCUCCGAGGUCCUCACCGCCCUCCCCAACGCCGCCCCUCUCCUCGUCCCGGCCCUCCGCUACGUCCACUCCGCCCUCGUCGCCGCCAACCUCGACCGCCAGAUCAAAGUCUCCACUCCCCACUCCUCCUCCAUCAUCCUCGACUCCUUCCCCCCUUCCCAGGCCUUCUUCAACCGCUCCCUCGACCCCGUCAUCUCCCCUAUGCUCAAGUUCCUCCAGUCCACCGGCUCCUACCUCAUGCUCAACGUCUACCCUUACUACGACUACAUGCAGUCCAACGGCGUCAUCCCUCUCGACUACGCGCUCUUCCGCCCGCUGCCGCCCAACAAGGAAGCGGUCGACGCCAACACUCUGCUUCACUACACCAACGUCUUCGACGCCAUCGUCGACGCCGCUUACUUCGCCAUGGCUUAUCUGAACAUCACCAACGUCCCCGUCGUCGUCCUCGAGUCCGGCUGGCCCCACAAGGGGGACCCCUCGGAAGAGCCCGAUGCCACCGCCGACAACGCGGACACCUACAACAGCAACCUUAUCCGUCACGUGCUCAACAGCACCGGCACCCCCAAGCACCCGGGCGUCCCCGUCCCGACCUACAUCUACGAGCUCUACGACGAGGACCAGCGGCCCGGGACGCUGUCGGAGCGCAACUGGGGGCUCUUCGAUGCCAGUGGGGUGCCCGUGUACACGCUGCACCUCACCGGGUCGGGGGUGUUGCUGGCGAAUGACACGACGAACCAGACGUACUGCAUCGCGAGGGAUGGGGCGGAUGCAAAGAUGCUGCAGGCGGCGCUCGACUGGGCGUGUGGGCCGGGGAAGGUGGACUGCUCGGUGCUGAUGCAGGGGCAACGAUGCUAUGAUCCUGACACGGUGGAGGCGCAUGCGACGUAUGCGUUCAAUGCGUAUUACCGUGGGAUGGGGAUGAGUUCGGGGACGUGCUACUUCAAUGGGGUUGCCACCGUUACUACCACUGAUCCAAGUAAGGAAGCUCUCUCUGUUAUUGAACAUUCAAUUUGAAAUUAUUUUUUCCACCCUCUUGUUGCCAGAAAUUUGCAUCCGGCACCCCACCCACCACUUAAAUUGGUAUUAAAUUUAGUGUUUUUCUAUACAAAAUCAGCAUGCCUUUAGUCAUUAGUUUGAUGACUAACAUUAUGUUGCCGAGUUCAUGUAUAAACCUCGGGGCACACUCCAGGAAUCCAUGCAUCAACUCUAUAGUGAUAUAGCAUGAAGCUCUAUAAUGGUAUAUCACCAUUCACCACUAAACUAGCAAUGGGAAAUAUCUGCUCCAUUGCAAUGGUGGAACAAGUAUGCCUGUGAGCGUCUAUUACAGGGUAUGCAGAAACAUAUAUAUAGCAUGCGGGCACUAUUUAUUUUUGUUUGGUAUAGCAAUGGUAGUUAUUAUUAUUAUUAUUUUUUUGCCCCAAAUCUUACAUGAGCCAUAUCAUAUUUUUAUUAUAUAAGCGCAAAAGAAUUACACAUCUGAACUAUCUAAAAUUGGUGUAAUAAGAACAUGCAUUUUGUUUCAUAUUAGUUAUUAAACUUCAGUAGUUUAGCACUUCUGCUGUAUUCUUGUAUGUAGAAGAUUAACUCAUUUGAAAAUGCCUAUGUGCAUACAAUUUGAGUAUGUAUGCGACUAAUUUAGAAUUGUGCCAUGAAAGAUAUUGCUUCAGAAAGGCAUUUGAUUGAUAAAAUUUAUGUACUUAUUCUUAGGAUGCAAGAUCAAAUUAUGCCAGUUGUUUAUAUCUGGGUAUUUCUUUUGAUGCAGGUCAUGAUGGCUGUGUAUUUCCUGGAAGGUAUGUCGCUUUAACCUAAGAAAAUGUCAAAUUGCUUAUGACUCAAUAGUGUUAAUAUAUAGUAUCAGUUUCUUGUAUGCAAUUUUUUUUUUUUUUUCUUGAAAACAAAUAUUUUAGAUGGUAGAAGUAAAAGCCAUUUGCAAUCAUUUAGCUUUGUUGGCCUGGCCUGUAGGUGUGAUCCUUGUAUAUUAUCCUAUGAAGUCAUUCAUAUUUUCAUUAGAAAAGACCAAAAGUUACAUAAACCAUAUGGGUAUAGUCAGACAGCUCACUUUGAUGACUUAAUUUGAAUAGAAAGUAAUAUAGGUCAUGUAAAUCUUACGAUUGGCCUGGAGUCUGGCAUUUUCUUUGAUAUUUAUACUACUUAAGAUCAAAAAGAAAUGGGAGAGAAAAUUGUAUACCCUUUCCUCUUCCUUCUAUUCUGGUCGGUUAAAUGGCUAAGAUAUUUUGUCUUAUAUAUUGAAUGGGGUUUUGAAUCAUUUGAUAAAAUCAAAGAUGCUUUAUGAUAUGCUAAUGUUCUUAGAGUUCUUAUACUGACGGAGACCCCUUUGUUUGUGGAGUUGGUUUGAAGUGUCAAAAUCCGAUAUGAGAUUCAUAUAACAAAUGUCUCACCCAGUGCAUCAUAAAGUAAGAAUUCAUUAACAUUGAAAACACAACUUAGUUACCUUGAUAACGCUUCUAACAGGACAUUGUUUACGGUGAUCUGGUCAACAGUGACUAGGCUAACCUCUGUUUAUUUGAAAACUAUGCUUCAGAAUCUGUUUUUUCUUCCUUCAGUUGGCUUAUGUGAUAAAAGUAACUCUGUGACUGCCUUUAGGCCUUGGUGCUUAAGAGUUUGUACUCUCUUCUUGUUCUCUUAGAUGUUUUAGUCUUUUGAGAUUCGGCUAUCUUGAGCUAUGGGGGUCAUAUUGUUUUGGAUCUAAGAGUUAUUGCGUUUACUUUUGGAGAUCAUUAUAAGUUACAUGCUUUUGGAAGUCAGUCCGGCUUUACAGCCAUGAAAUUGGGAUGUGUUAUUGUUUCUCGUGCAGUGGUGGAAAGAAUGGCACCUUCUUUAAUGGCACAUCGCUGGCACCUGCAUCAAAUUCCACCUCGGCUGAAUCUGCCUCCCCUCACAGUUUCCAUGACACCAAGUUGCUCUUUCAAAUCUUCGGAGUCCUGCUAUUGAGUCUGCUAUUCUUGUAGUUCAUGAUCUCUCUUCUUUUUGUUCAGAGUGAUCUUGGAUCAGAAGCCUUGGAAUUGAAAAUUGGAUUGAAUGUGGACUUCUGAGGGGGGAUGUGCUUCCUUUUUUCGAUGAUGAAGCUUGCUGCAUGGCACACCCAAUUUUGUCUUAUGCUUAGGCGAAGGAUUUUCAUGGAAUUGGAUUAGUUCAUUGCCAUUCCUUUUGUUUCUGUUUCUUUAGUUGGACUGAUUGCAAAUUUUUGUACAAAGAGAUCUAAGUAGUUGAUGAUCCAAGAACUAGAGACUGUUGCUCUUUGAUCACGCUCAUGUCAACUGACAUGUUAUUUAUUGGAAUUGGUUUGUUCCUUUUCAAUUUUUCCUCAUCCUUGCGAUAUGUUUAUUAGAUUUUGAAAACCAUUUAAAUCAAUUAACUUGUAGAGGGUAUUGUUUCAAGGCAAAUACCAGUGUUGCAUAAAGUCUUGGCUAUUUCGGUUGAACAAAUUAAUAAGCUUCUAGUAGGCGUUUGCAUCUUCAUCUCUAACGUCACGUACUCAUUUGUAUUUCUAGCAGUUAAUCUUAACCUUUUGUAUAUGAUCCUGAUGUUCUCGUCAAGGGCAUUUAUCUUCAUACCAGCAUCUCGAACGAUGAAAGCGCAACCAAACACGUCCCUCAAAGAUAUGUAGAAAAGUAAAGCUUCAGGUACUACAAUGUGACAAUGAGCAUUGAUUCUGAGAUGAUGAACAGAAUGUACAUGACAAAAGAUGGAUGGUUGCGCAUUGUUCUUCAAAUUAAAGCUAUUUGAUGGUUUUUGUGUCUGGGGUAGAAUGCUUGGCAUAUUGGGCCUUAGUUUUGUCUUUUAAGUUGAUGUUUGGUGAUCCAGAUGAGAUUAGAUGAUCUUAGAUCACUGAUGAUCUUUAUCCAAGGAUAAUUUGAUUUUUGAUUAUCUAAGAUCAUCAUGUUUAGUAUGUUAUAUUUCAGUAAUUAAAAAUUUUCAGAUAUUUAUAAUAAUUUAUUUAGUAUUCGAUGGAAAUUCAAAAUCACUAACUGUAUAAUAUUUAAAUUAUCCUUCAUAUAUUCUAUAAAUUAUAUUUAUCACUUAUAUAAAAUAUAUUAAGAUCCAUUAUUAAUAUAUAACAUAAAAUGAUAUUUAUUAAUUUUAUAAAAAUAUAUUAAUUAUUAUUAUAGAAUUAAUAUUUUUUUAUAAUAUAUGUAAUUAUUUCAAUAUCAGUACUUAUUUUGAUUAAGAAAAUUAAAAAAAUAAGAUAAAUAGAAGUAAUAUAUAAAAAAAUUAUAAUAUAAAUAUAAAGUAUAAUAAUAUAUUUUUAUUAUAUUUUAAAAUUAUAAAUAAAUUAUGAUAUGAUAAUAAUAAUAUAAUAUAUAAUAUUGAUAUAAUAUGUUAGAUAUAUUGAUAUACUAAUUUUUUUUAUUGAACCAAGAGGUAUUUUUGUCACUAAAUUUUGGUCCAAUAUUACCAUCCUAGGAUUGUCUUCUAGAGUUGUCUUCGAUAUCUGACCCCAAGGAUGAGUUUUUUAUCAUUGAGAUAGAUAGCGAUUUGAUGAGUAAUGGUAAUUUUGGAUCUCUAUCACACACGAUUAUCUAAGCAAAUAUGGUGAUAUUGUUAUCUUUAGCCGCAUCAUUCUCGAUCUUGACAUCAUCACUCUAUAUCAAGCGCUUUAGAUCCGUUCAUAAUUAUGGGAACUCUAUCCAAGAUCACGCCCUUCUACUUUGGGAGGUCAAAUAGCUGUGCCACUGGGUUGCAUGGACUUGGCAUGGCAACCAAUUUAAUGUUUGGAACAAGACUGUUGCCAACGGUACAUCGCUCAUGGGCCUGAAUAACACUUUUUGAGUGAACAGGUGGGGGCCCAUAUCUGCGAGGAGGCGGACACGUCAACUUUGGUAUAUUAAAAGAUCUAGAAGGGCAUUUCGGUAAUUCCAAAUCCAACGACACCCGGUCGUAACCCUAAUUUUCUAGGGCUACAAAUACCCGAUCGCCCCCAGCUAACUUUAUUCCUGUCCAUCUAAUUGGCUUUCGUGUCCUGUGCCUUUUUAUUUUUCUAAAAGUUCCUGUUCUUGAUUUAAUUUUCUCUUAUUCUUCGUCUGAUUAGAUUCGAUCUUUCCUAUUUGUUUUCAUUUGCUUAAUGUAUUAGUGUUAUUUUCCGUUGAAGCACUCUUUGCUUAGAUCUAUGGCUUGGAUCGGAUCACCAUCGAUCCAGAGCUUUGGGAUACAAGAGAUGCGAGAUCGAUUGCUUGGUACCUUUGGACGUGCGGUUUCCUGAUCUCCCAUGGAUCCUCGCGUUUUCUCGUAGGCUCUACAUCAUUCUCUCCACUCUAAUCUCAAGAAAUCUUUUUCUUUCUUGCGAUAAUUUAACUACUCUGCUUUUAUUUUGUGCUUUAUUUUGGAAUUUUGGGCUCGAUGAUGAUUUAUUUUGCUUUAACCACACCGAAAGAGAAGCCGGAGGAGAGGGGUCGUUUAUGGUCCCCAAUUUCUCUUCUUUGGUCUGUUGAUCUUUUGCUGGGUGUUGCCUGGGGAUCUCUUCCUUCUUCUUGUGGGAGUCUCGCUCUCUUUGGGGUGGUUUUCCCUUGGGAAGAGGAGAGGAGUGAAGGCUUCGGCAAGCUUGGGAGCAGCAGAUCCAGUUGGGUUCCCAUGUGCGAUUUUCCUCCGAUGGACUUUCUUGGAAGUGGAAAACUUUGGCCAUAAGACUGAGAGCUCUAUUAUAUUAAUAGUACCUUUUGCUGAAGUUUUUCUCUAAUUCUUGAUCUUUUUUAGGUCUCUCUGUGGCAAACUUGAAUCAAAUCAGAUGGACCAAAAUUCUAAUUU